Molecule: non-coding RNA, 133 nt
Organism: Pelobates cultripes (western spadefoot toad)
Lineage: Eukaryota; Metazoa; Chordata; Amphibia; Anura; Pelobatidae
Source: the annotation of a GenBank genome assembly
CAAACACACGCCGCAUGUGUGUGUGUGUGUGUGUGUGUAUGUAUCUAUCUAUCUAUUUAUAUAUAUAUAUAUAUAUAUAUAUAUAUAUAUAUACAUACAUACACACACACACAUACACUGCUGUGUGUGCUGU